GUACUACUCUCAGAGUUUGAUCCUGGCUCAGGACGAACGCUGGCGGCGUGCCUAACACAUGCAAGUCGAACGGAAGUAAGACUCCGGUUUUACUUUAGUGGCGAACGGGUGAGUAACGCGUGAGAAACCUGCCUUUCAGUGGGGGACAACAGUUGGAAACGACUGCUAAUACCGCAUAAUGUAUUUUGACCGCAUGAUCGAAAUACCAAAGCUUUAUGUGCUGAAAGAUGGUCUCGCGUCUGAUUAGCUAGUUGGUGAGGUAACGGCUCACCAAGGCGACGAUCAGUAGCCGGUCUGAGAGGAUGAACGGCCACAUUGGGACUGAGAUACGGCCCAG
Molecule: ribosomal RNA, 337 nt
Filed under: uncultured bacterium
Lineage: Bacteria
Description: bacterial SSU rRNA
Rfam family: Bacterial small subunit ribosomal RNA
Source: RNAcentral